CUCUCAGAAACAAGUCGAAUUUGUGACAAACGAGUGGAAUGUGGAGCCACUUGGACUAACUGCCUAUAUUCUGGCACAGUCGCCAGCUAUAAUACACUCUGAACAGCCCACAAGAUAUGUAGCAUAUUUUAAAAGUUUUGUUCUCAGUUGCUAAUACUGUACGUUAUUUUCAGGUUGAUCAUCAGACUGAGCGAGAGGCCACAAAUACCCCAGAAAUGACCAUACUUUAGAAUGACCUGUACUCACCAAACCAGUAACAAGGAUCCAGACAAAAAACAAUACCUGUUGGUGAUGCCCUCAUGUUAAGUGCAGAGGCAACAGUGGACGUUGGUCGUACCAUCCACUGUGAACCCUGAGAAGUUUUGCCUCGGGAAGAUCCGGAUUAUGACCUGAGAGGGCAGCCACCUAUGGAGGUUCGUCAUCCCCGGGGAAUAAACAAUGAUGGUUCCAGCACAGAUCCCUUAUCAACUAUUUGGAACCAGAAUUCCGUAUGUGGAAGCACCAGACUACGCAGUGCCACAUCUCACACGACAGCCUUCUUCAUGUUGCUAUAGUUACGAUAUAGUUCAGUGCUGGAAAUACAAUUCUGUCAAGCAUGAUGUGAGCACAAGUUGUUAAUAAAUCUGAAAUAGUUAA
This is a long non-coding RNA of Zootermopsis nevadensis, 636 nucleotides long. RefSeq lists it as uncharacterized. The record is from RefSeq and is a predicted model, not a curated record. NCBI's taxonomy places the organism in Eukaryota, Metazoa, Arthropoda, Insecta, Blattodea, Termopsidae.